Rana temporaria (common frog) is the source of this 597-nucleotide long non-coding RNA. RefSeq lists it as uncharacterized. The transcript has 2 exons. The record is from RefSeq and is a predicted model, not a curated record. NCBI's taxonomy places the organism in Eukaryota, Metazoa, Chordata, Amphibia, Anura, Ranidae.
GGAAAAAAAAUCGUUUUUCCUAGAAGCCGAAAAAUGAUCGUGUGUACGCGGCAUUAUCCUUCCAACAUCAAAAACUGCACAAUGAAGAGAAGCCAUAUUCCUGUUCUAAGAGCAGGAAAUGUUUUUCAGGGAAGUCUUAUCUUUCCACACAUCAGGGAUUUCAUACGGUGGAAAAGCCAUACUCCCGAAUAAGUGCGGGAAAUUGUGGAAAACGUUUUUUAGAACAGUCAAGUCUUGCCAAACUUUAGAGAACCCACACUACCAAGGAGACAUCUUAGCAGGGCCGGGACAAAGGGUGGGGCAGGAGGGGGGGGGGGGGGUUGCGCUCAAAAUGUGGCCUGUUUACCUUGGGCUCUAGAUGACCUUGUCCCGGCACUACAUAUUAGUGUCUCGAAAUGUCUUCUAUAUGAAUCCUAUUUUGCCGUACAUCAGAGAUCUCACACCGGAAAGAAUUUGGGUGGGGUGAGUUCUCAAACCCGUGCACCGAGUUUCGCCUCUUCAGGUCCCAAAGGGGACAUCCACCUGGUAACAAGGGACUUUGUCGAGUGUUUUUAUAUUGCUAUUUUGUCGGAAUAAACUGUUUUUGGUUUAAGAAAA